Non-coding RNA from Besnoitia besnoiti, 72 nucleotides. Lineage: Eukaryota; Apicomplexa; Conoidasida; Eucoccidiorida; Sarcocystidae. The record is from the annotation of a RefSeq genome assembly.
CGGCAGUUGGCUCAGUGGUAGAGUGUAUGCUUCACAAGCACAUAAGUAUUGGUUCGAUUCCAGUACUGCCCA